Molecule: long non-coding RNA, 785 nt
Organism: Dalotia coriaria
Lineage: Eukaryota; Metazoa; Arthropoda; Insecta; Coleoptera; Staphylinidae
Exons: 2
Source: RefSeq, a predicted model, not a curated record
UAAAAAACAAGUGGCAAAUUGCUAUAAAAAGACCACAUACUCUUAUUUCAAAAGCACAAGUAGUUUGUGAAAAACAUUUUCGCUCUGGAGAUAUAAUUCGAACUCGACAAUUGUUAGAUCCUGAUGGAAAUAUAGUUGGUGUGUCACCAUAUCAGCGUCCACGAUUAGCGCCUAAAGCUGUACCUAGUUUAUUUCCUUGGACAGAAGUGAUACCUGCUAUUGAUGAAAGCAAAAAUAUUUCUGAAUCUAGUCCUACAAGUGCACAAGUGUCUGAACUUCCUAAAUCAAGAAAUAUCCCAGAAGAGAUUAAUGUGAGUGAAGUUUCCGAAUUUCGUUCAAGUACUGGAAGGCAGGAACAUAUUUCCGACCAUACCUAUUAUAGUUGCAAUGUAGUGGAAAAUUUUAAUUUUUCUACGUUAUUGUCAUAUGAUUUGAAUUUACCAUCUUCCUGGUUGCGUAAUAAUAUCACACAUAACGGAAUACCUCUUAUUAGUUUUUCUGUUAUAAGUUGUGAAGUGGUAGAUGGCAACUAUUAUAGUUUUAAUUUAAAAGAAAUCAUGGUUGACUCAUCAUUAAAAUUAUACACAAAUAUAAUGGAAAAAACAUUGACAGAUUCUUCAUACAUUACCGUAAAGAACAAUAUUACAAACAUUAAAGAGCUAGAAGAAUACAUACGCACAAUUAAUGGUUUAAAAGUUUGUAAAGGUACUACUAUAGAUGGACUUCAAGAAUAUGAAAAAUCUUCUUCUUUGUAUACUGAUAAAAUAUAUACAAUUAGGCACAAA